Molecule: unclassified non-coding RNA, 216 nt
Filed under: Hevea brasiliensis (rubber tree)
Lineage: Eukaryota; Viridiplantae; Streptophyta; Magnoliopsida; Malpighiales; Euphorbiaceae
Source: RNAcentral
UUUACCUAUUAUACCCUCAAUUAAUUAAUUUUGAAAAAAGUAGAACUUCUUGAAAAUCUUAAAUUUUUAAUUCAUCCACUUCAUAAUGAAUAGGGGCAAAAUAAUAAAUUCACUAUGUCAACAAUUGUUUUCUUAAUUGGUGUGUCAAUUCAAAAGUGGACAAGUAAUUAGGGACAGAGGGAGUACUAGCAUGAUAUCCCUUUCUUCCAAAAAAAA